CUACGGGCGGCAGCAGUCGAGAAUCUUCGGCAAUGGACGAAAGUCUGACCGAGCGACGCCGCGUGUACGAUGAAGGCCUUCGGGUUGUAAAGUACUGUCAGUUGGGAGGAAAUAUUUGGGGGUCAUCCCCCUUAUUUGACCCAUCUUCAGAGGAAGUGCGGGCUAAGUUCGUGCCAGCAGCCGCGGUAAUACGAACCGCACGAACGUUAUUCGGAAUCACUGGGCUUAAAGGGUGCGUAGGCGGUCUAGUAAGUUGGGUGUGAAAUCCCUCGGCUCAACCGAGGAAUUGCGCUCAAUACUGCUAGACUUGAGGGAGAUAGAGGUAAGCGGAACUCAGGGUGGAGCGGUGAAAUGUGUUGAUAUCCUGGGGAACACCAGUUGCGAAAGCGGCUUACUGGGUCUCUUCUGACGCUGAGGCACGAAAGCUAGGGGAGCGAACGGGAUUAGAUACCCGCGUAGUC
Molecule: ribosomal RNA, 461 nt
Filed under: uncultured bacterium
Lineage: Bacteria
Description: partial 16S ribosomal RNA
Rfam family: Bacterial small subunit ribosomal RNA
Source: RNAcentral